This 579-nucleotide ribosomal RNA is filed under the name Allophryne ruthveni group sp. ABGD cluster 2. RNAcentral's name for it is "partial large subunit ribosomal RNA". It matches the Rfam family "Bacterial large subunit ribosomal RNA", at positions 1808 to 2597 of the family's 2925-position model. The record is from RNAcentral. Lineage: Eukaryota; Metazoa; Chordata; Amphibia; Anura; Allophrynidae.
CAAAAACAUCGCCUCUUGACAAACUAUAAGAGGUCCAGCCUGCCCAGUGACUCUGUUCAACGGCCGCGGUAUCCUAACCGUGCGAAGGUAGCGUAAUCACUUGUUCUUUAAAUGAGGACUAGUAUGAAUGGCACCACGAGGGUUAUACUGUCUCCUUUUUCUAAUCAGUAAAACUAAUCUUCCCGUGCAGAAGCGGGAAUGAACCUAUAAGACGAGAAGACCCUAUGGAGCUUUAAACUAAGUCACAUUUGUUUUACUCUCUACCCCUCCCCAGAGAAGUCAUAAACAUUUUAACAAACUGAUGACUAGUUUUCGGUUGGGGUGACCGCGGAGCAGAAAAAAACCUCCACAUUGAAAGGAAUUUUAAUCCUAAGCCAAGAGCCACAACUCUAAGCAUCAAUAAAACGACAUUAAUUGACCCAAUAUAUUGAUCAACGAACCAAGUUACCCUAGGGAUAACAGCGCAAUCCACUUCAAGAGCUCCUAUCGACAAGUGGGUUUACGACCUCGAUGUUGGAUCAGGGUAUCCCGGUGGUGCAGCCGCUACCAAAGGUUUGUUUGUUCAACGAUUAAAACCCU